Molecule: ribosomal RNA, 372 nt
Filed under: uncultured bacterium
Lineage: Bacteria
Description: bacterial SSU rRNA
Rfam family: Bacterial small subunit ribosomal RNA
Source: RNAcentral
ACGAACCGAGCGAACGUUGUUCGGAAUCACUGGGCUUAAAGGGCGCGUAGGCGGAUACUCAAGUCUGUGGUGAAAUCCUCCGGCUCAACCGGAGAACUGCCAUGGAUACUGGGUGUCUCGAGGGUGGUAGGGGUAUGCGGAACUAUCGGUGGAGCGGUGAAAUGCGUUGAUAUCGAUAGGAACUCCGGUGGCGAAGGCGGCAUACUGGACCACAUCUGACGCUGAGGCGCGAAAGCCAGGGGAGCGAACGGGAUUAGAUACCCCGGUAGUCCUGGCCCUAAACGAUGGGUACUAGCUAGUAGGGUUCACAUGACUUUACUGGCGAAGCAAAAGUGAUAAGUACCCCGCCUGGGGAGUAUGGUCGCAAGGCUG